Non-coding RNA from Pelobates cultripes (western spadefoot toad), 831 nucleotides. Lineage: Eukaryota; Metazoa; Chordata; Amphibia; Anura; Pelobatidae. The record is from the annotation of a GenBank genome assembly.
GUAGUGGGGAAGGGGUAAUAGAGGCAAUAGUGGGAGGCAGGGGGUAAAAGAAGCUAUUGAGGGUGCAGGGGUUGUAGAAUAAGUAGGGGGUGAUAGGGUUGUAGUGGGUGAUAGCGGUUGUCGUGGGUAAUAGGGGUUGUAGGAUGUGUAAGUGGUGAUAGGGGUUGUAGUAUAUGCAGGGGUGAUAGGAGUUGUAAUUAAUAAUGGAGUUGUAGUAUAUGUAGGGGUAAUAGGAGUUGUAAUGGGUAAUAGGGGUUGUAGUGUGUAGGGGCUGAUAGGGGUUGUAGUACGUGUAGUGGGUGAUAGGAGUUGUAGAGUGUGCUGGGGGUGAUAGGGGUUGCAGUAUGUGUAGGGGGUUAUAGGGGUUGUAGUAUGUAGUAUGUAGAAACUAUUCCAGUUUCUAAACCCACCAGGUCUCUUCUGGGUCCAACGGCAAAAAAUCAAUGUGCCUCAACAACCUGUGUCCUCUGCAUCAUACAGCAAUCUGGAAAUAGGGUUCGUCUAGUGAAUAGGUUUUUUCCGGAUCCUCCUGCAACCAGGGCCCGCGUUAUUCUGGUGCUAAACUGAACAGGUGUCCUCUGGGUCCCACAGCGAAAAAUCAUUGUCCUGGAAUACCCCUGGGGAAUAGAUUUUUCCCAGGUCCUCAUAUUCCAGGUUCUAAACUGACGUUUAAACUGACGUUCUAUGCUGACGUUUACUACAUUCUAAAUCCUCACGCAUCCAAAGGGUCCCACGGCCAUUAGGUUUCCUCCAGGCAGGUGUUUUCUAGGUUCUAAACCAACCAGGUGUCCCCUGGUCCCACAUCGAAAAAUCCUUGUGUCUCGACAACCA